CAUGCAAGUCGUACGGGGGACUUUGAUAGCUUGCUAGAGAAGUUCCUAGUGGCGCACGGGUGAGUAACACGUGAGUGACAUGCCCUGCAGUGGGGGAUAGCCCGCCGAAAGGCGGAUUAAUACCCCAUGGUUUCCGCAAGGAUAAAGGUGGCUUUUAGCUGCCGCUGCAGGAUUGGCUCGCGUCCUAUCAGCUUGUUGGUGAGGUAACGGCUCACCAAGGCGACGACGGGUACCUGGUUUGAGAGGAUGAUCAGGCACACUGGAACUGAGACACGGUCCAGACACCUACGGGUGGCAGCAGUCGAGAAUAAUUCACAAUGGGGGAAACCCUGAUGGUGCAACGCCGCGUGGAGGAUGAAGGUCUUCGGAUUGUAAACUCCUGUCAUUUGAGAGCAAGACCUGGCGGUGAAUAGCCGACAGGGUUGAUAGUAUCGAAAGAGGAAGGGACGGCUAACUUCGUGCCAGCAGCCGCGGUAAUACGAAGGUCCCGAGCGUUGUUCGGAAUCACUGGGCGUAAAGGGAGCGUAGGCGGCAAGGUAAGUCAGGUGUGAAAUCCCGGGGCUCAACCCCGGAACUGCACCCGAUACUGCUUUGCUAGAGUAAUGGAGGGGUAGCUGGAAUUCUCGGUGUAGCAGUGAAAUGCGUGGAUAUCGAGAGGAACACUUAUGGCGAAGGCAAGCUACUGGACAUUUACUGACGCUGAGGCUCGAAGGCCAGGGGAGCGAAAGGGAUUAGAUACCCCUGUAGUCCUGGCAGUAAACGGUGUGCGCUUGGUGUGAGGGGUUUCGACCCCCCUUGUGCCGGAGCUAACGCGUUAAGCGCACCGCCUGGGGAGUACGGUCGCAAGACUAAAACUCAAAGAAAUUGACGGGGACCCGCACAAGCGGUGGAGUAUGUGGCUUAAUUCGAUGCAA
Molecule: ribosomal RNA, 914 nt
Filed under: uncultured Haloferula sp.
Lineage: Bacteria; Pseudomonadati; Verrucomicrobiota; Verrucomicrobiia; Verrucomicrobiales; Verrucomicrobiaceae
Description: bacterial SSU rRNA
Rfam family: Bacterial small subunit ribosomal RNA
Source: RNAcentral